GGGUGUCCUUCAUGCUCUUGACUAUCAUCACUGGCAUUACAAUGUUAAGAAGCUGCUACCCCACAAGAAGCAUAAUGGACCAAGACAUGUGAAAGGGUUAGGGGGGUACUCAUAUUUGUUGGAACCUUGGUGGUGGGCUGGGAUGAUAACUAGUCAGAAAUUUUUUGGAGAGAUGCAAAAUAUGGUUCAAGAAUUAAAGAACUUA
Camellia sinensis is the source of this 205-nucleotide non-coding RNA. Lineage: Eukaryota; Viridiplantae; Streptophyta; Magnoliopsida; Ericales; Theaceae. The record is from RefSeq and is a predicted model, not a curated record.